CGUUCGCGUUUCGCGAGAUAACAGGCCGCUACACGAGCGCUCGUCUUCAAUUUGUUUCAAACGAAACGAGCGAAAAACAUUGCCUGUAUGGGAGGGCAUGGACGGUGGCGAGUGAUCUUGUCAGGCUGCGUCGCAGCACUCAGUCCAGGUUCAGUCCACCGACAGACAUUCGCGCGUACGGAUCGUUCGCUCCCGUUUAGUGCCGUUUAGUGUGUAGUGCGUAUGUGAGUCUGUUGUGUGUACCGGUUCUGUGAUCGGUUCUGUGGACGGCUUCCUUCGGGUCUUAGACUACCGGAGUUUGAAGUAUUAAAAGUGCAUUUAAAAUAAGCCAAAGAGUGGACCAAUUAAAGCCACCCGACACAGGGGGGAGCACAUGGAAAACGGCUAGCAGCAGGUUAGGACUGUAAAACUUUCACGGAUGUAGAAAUCAAAGAAGAAAAUCCGGAUCCGGAGUGGGAAAAGGCCAGUGGAGUGAUCGCCAGAUAUCCAGUUGCUAACCGUACAUGAAGCUGCAGUGCAAGUUGGUGGUUCUCUUUUUUGAAGUAAGCACUUAAUUUACUGACCGCUUCCGUACGAUCAGACACCGUCCCAAUAUACAGCUCAAUACAGUGGACCUAUCGGGUAUAGAGUAAUAGAAACCGCUUCGCACCAAACGCAGCCAGUUCCACCGAACGGGUCCGCCAUAGGGUUGGGCAUCGAAAUACUGAUUGAACGGGAGGCCGUUUGUCUCUCGCUUUCCACAGAACAGAGGGCGAACAGGAGAGCCACGCAGGCGGCGGCAGUGACGAACAAACAAGGCGAGGCGUUGAUCUGAUAAAAUCUAAUUGCUUUAGUUUGUUUGUUUAUCGCACCACGAGAUCUGCAAACGAUCUCGUUCUCUGCUUUUUUUGCUCUGAAGACAGAGCGACGGACAAGUGCCUUUGGUUCUCUGUUUGGUUGUGCGUGCCCUUUUAGAGAGAGAGAUAGUAAGGGAGAUAUAACCUGAGAGAGAUAUUAAAACAGCUGUUUUAAGUGAUACGAUCCGUAGCAGCGGCAGCUUCAUUGUAGGGCUUCUUGAAGGACGGCAUCACGGGUCUAAUCAGUGCACGGGACACAGAAUAAGAUAAAUAAUUGCCCAUCCCGCUUAGUUCCUACCCCGCUGGCUGGUUCUUCCACCGAUGUCGUAACUAUCCCAAGGCCACCAGAACACGCAACAGUUCAGCAGAACAGAACGGUAUCACUUUCUAAACAGCGCACCUUCAAAAAAAUGACACAUCUUACCACACCCCUGCUGAUAUGCAUCAUCGUCACCGUCGGUUACCGAACCCUGGCAGUGGCGGCGUACGGCCAGAACCCACCGAAGCGACCCCACAUCGUCCUCAUCACCGCGGACGAUAUGGGCUGGAAUGACGUCGGGUUUCACGGCUCGAACCAGAUAGCGACGCCGCACAUUGACGCGCUCGCGUACGACGGUGUCAUCCUGAACCGGCACUACUCGGCCCCGAUGUGUACGCCGUCCCGGGCGGCCCUGAUGACGGGCAGACACCCGAUCAACGUCGGCAUGCAGCACUACGUGAUCGACAGCGACGAGCCGUGGGGCCUCGGGCUGGACCAGCGCAUCAUGCCGCAGUACUUCCGCGCGGCCGGCUAUCGGACGCACAUGAUUGGGAAGUGGCACCUUGGCUUCUUCACCGAGCACUACAUACCGACGAACCGGGGGUUCGACACGCACAUCGGCUACCUGGGGCCGUACGUGGACUACUGGAGCUACGUGUCCAAGAUGAAUAGCGGUACGUUCGAAGGCUACGAUAUGCGCCAGAAUCAGUUCGUCAACUAUGCCGCUAACGGGACGUACGCGACGGACUAUUUCACCUCGGCCGCGCGGGACAUCAUCGCCCAGCAUGGCAAGAGCGGUCAGCCGAUGCUGCUGGUAAUGAAUCAUCUGGCACCGCACGCGGGCAACGAUGAUGAUCCGCUGCAAGCACCGCAGGAAACGAUCGAUCGUUUUGCGUACAUCGGCAACAGGGAUCGUCGCACGUACGCUGCCAUGAUGUCGAAGCUGGACGACAGUGUCGGCGCCGUGUAUGAGAGCCUGCGAGCGAACGGUAUGCUCGACAACUCGAUCAUUGUGUUUCUGAGCGAUAAUGGGGGUGUUACGCGCGGCAUGCACAGCAACACCGGCUCGAACUAUCCAUUCCGUGGUCAAAAACACUCCCCCUGGGAAGGUGCGGUACGGACCGCAGCACUCAUCUGGAGCCCACUGCUGAAGGACACGCAGCGCGUCUCGAACCAAUGGUUCCACAUCUCCGACUGGCUGCCAACGCUCGCUUCUGCCGCCGGCAUUGCCUUGGGCAACAGUUCCUUCAGCGAUAUCGAUGGCAUCGACCAGUGGGAAGCACUCGCGUACGGUACGGGCAAUCCGCGCCAGAGGCUGAUGAACAAUCUGGACGAAAUCUUCGGCUACACCAGCUACAUGGAGAACGGGUUUAAGUACAUCAACGGCACGACACUGAACGGGGUGAACGAUGCGUGGUACGGCGAGACGGAUCCACUCGAUCAGCUGCCGGACGAUGAACAGUAUCUCAGCAGUGUCAUGGCCACCCGGAUUGCCCGUGCUGGCCGGCUGGAUGAGAAGCUUAUCUCCUACCUUCGUCGACACGCGACCGUCAAUUGCGGCAACUCAAUUGCAACCAAACCCUGCAAUCCGCUGGUGAAACCGUGCCUGUUCGACAUCAUCAACGAUCCGUGCGAAAUGCACGACAUCUCGGAUGAGUAUCCGAAACGGCUGCGUGGAAUACGCAACCGGCUGGAGCUGUACCGGCUUCGGGCAGCUAAACCGCGCAACCGGCCGCACGAUCCAGAAGCCGAUCCGUCCAAAUUCGGUGGCGUUUGGAACUGUUGGCGUACCGAUCCGACCAAGGCCGCUUCCCUGCAGGACGAAGGCGAUGACUCCGCGUUGCCACCACCGACGCACUCGCUCGCCAAGGACACGCAGCUGUUUGACCAAGAAGCAAGAUUCCGCCACUACGCCCAGCGAGAUACCGACGGACGCGUCCAGCCCGGAUGGUAAAGCGGCGGCCGAUGCUGCCUUUAGCUCGAAAAUCUACGUCAUUAGCGAUAGGGAUAUGGACAGCUCAUCAAAGCAAGAUCAGUGCAGCGUGUGAACAUUGAUCGGCGAAGAUCUUCAGUCCCAUAUCGGCCAACGAUCCUCCAGCAACGUUUAUUUGUUAUCACCGAGAUAUUGCCAGAAAUAAAUAUUUCAGACUUCUCA
This is an RNA transcript of Anopheles coluzzii, 3250 nucleotides long. It is a transcript of the gene named arylsulfatase B-like, with no coding region annotated. The transcript has 5 exons. NCBI's taxonomy places the organism in Eukaryota, Metazoa, Arthropoda, Insecta, Diptera, Culicidae. The record is from RefSeq and is a predicted model, not a curated record.